Astatotilapia calliptera (eastern happy) is the source of this 1962-nucleotide long non-coding RNA. NCBI's taxonomy places the organism in Eukaryota, Metazoa, Chordata, Actinopteri, Cichliformes, Cichlidae. The record is from Ensembl.
ACCUGAAGCUGCGAGUGCUUGGUCCGAGUUGGGCAAGUUGGUGUUUCUUAACUAUGAAAGUCUGAUACGCGUCCUUCCCCUAAACUUCUGUUAGAACGGUGGGAAACAUUGCUCCCGUGAGAACGGUAUAGUGGACUUCAUCGCCACUGACCCACAUUUAUUAGGGUGUAACACGAACUUGUGGACAGGUAACAAAACCAAUUCAGUGGAGGAAUAUUCCUGUGUUUUAUUGUCCAGCUAGUGAUCUUCUGCCUUUUAUUCACAGAGUACCGAGCUGCUGCUUUGCCAGGUGGAUUUCUGGCUGCGGGCAAAGGACCCGACACAUCAGUGUGUUUUAAUUUGUUUUAAACUGGUGUAAGCCGACAGACUGACUGCUGCGGCUGUCGAUGGUUUUGGUUUUUGGUUUUACUUUUUCUGUAUCAGUAGGCACCACAGAUAUUGAUCCUUUUAGUAUUUUAACCCCUUUAUUUAUAUAUAUAUAUAUAUUGUCGCAGACGGUGAAGGCGCUGCAGGGAAAACAAAUCCUUUUUUUUUGUCUCCCCGCUUUUGCAUGCACAGCGGUGGGCCCGAGUGAAGACGGCACUGAAGAUUUGACUUUUUUUCUAUAGUGUUUUACCCAUUUGGGGUUAUGUGUGAGUUGCCGUCCAUGUUUUACCUGUGUGCUAUGUUGAUUUGUUUUUAAACGGUUCCCCGCAGCGCUUGUCCUGCCUCACGGGCAAUCGCACAGUUUUAUCGUCUCUAAUAAGGUAACGUUUUUAAUUGGUUUGAGGUGCCGCUGUUACACUGUUUCUUUUAUUUUGUAUUAAAAAAUUAAACUCUUUUAAACUGACUGUGCGCCUACGGCUCUGUCCUAUUUUAAAUAGGUACCUACCACGGGUCACAAACUGGCGUUGUCGGACAGGAUGAGCCUCUAGGUGUGCACAGCGAUUAGUCAGUUGGUUUGUGUAAAAUUUUUAUUUUUAUGGGUGUGUGUUUUUAAACUGUUUUAUAUUUGUAUUUAUUUUUUUUAGGCAAAGCAGCAGCUGGUAAAUCCUGGUGGUAACAAAGUGUAAUCUGCAUUUAAACACAGUAGGCACUUACUGUUGAGGGUUUUUAUUUUUUAUUAUGGAGUCCCAAUCAGGCAUUUCUAGCCCCUGUAGACCUCAUGACUCUACCCCUAUGGAGGGCUCUCUCCAAGAGAGGCUGGUUUAUAUCCCUAGAGAGAGGUCGUGCCCCCUGUUUAGUGGAACUGGGGAAAUUAGUGUCCAAAGUUGGGUGGAGGAAAUAAAAUCUGUGAUGCGCACUCGUAGACUUGCCCCUGUUGAUAGAGCCCAUUAUAUCUAUGAUCAUUUGACUGGUGAUGCUCGUGAGGAAAUAAAAUAUAGGUCCCAGCAAGUAAGAGAAGAUCCAGACCGCAUUUUUGAUAUUCUCCUUAGCCAGUAUGGUUGCCCCAUGUCCUUUAUUGCUGUUAAGGAAGCUUUUUAUGCAAGAAGGCAGCAAGAAGGAGAGUGACUGAGGGAAUUCUCACAUGCAUUGUUUUCUCUCAUGGACAAAAUGAUCCAAAGUUGUCCAGAGAGGCGAAUUCCUGAGGCUGCUAGACUGCUUUCUGAUCAGUUUGUAGAGGGUGUCCGGGAUGGAAAUUUGAGCCGCGAGCUUAAAAGGAUUGUUCGCGAACAUCCAGAUUAUGACCUCCAUACUUUAAGAGAUGAAGGCCUCAGGUGGGAGCGGGAAGGCAGAGUAGGAGUAGAACCCGGCCGGUUCAGGACUUAUUCUGUCCCAGCAGUCUACAGCAUUCAGCAUACAGGACAAACAAAGGGGCCAAGGGAUACUAUUGGGUCAGAAUUAGCGGAGGUUAAGGAAAUGUUAAAACGGCAGCAGGCCCAGAUUGAUCAGCUUACACAUGAGUUGAGAGUUGCCCAUACAUCAAGUAAGUCUAGGUUCACGCAGAAAGGAAGGCAGGUUAUUUGCAGGCGGUGUCAGAAG